GUGGGGAAUAUUGGACAAUGGGCGAAAGCCUGAUCCAGCCAUGCCGCGUGUGUGAAGAAGGUCUUCGGAUUGUAAAGCACUUUAAGUUGGGAGGAAGGGCAGUAAGUUAAUACCUUGCUGUUUUGAUGUUACCGACAGAAUAAGCACCGGCUAACUUCGUGCCAGCAGCCGCGGUAAUACAGAGGGUGCGAGCGUUAAUCGGAAUUACUGGGCGUAAAGCGCGCGUAGGCGGCUUUGCAAGUCGGAUGUGAAAUCCCCGGGCUUAACCUGGGAACUGCCUCCAAAACUGCAUGACUAGAGGACGGUAGAGGGUAGUGGAAUUUCCUGUGUAGCGGUAAAAUGCGUAGAUAUAGGAAGGAACACCAGUGGCGAAGGCGACUACCUGGACUGAUACUGACACUGAGGUGCGAAAGCGUGGGGAGCAAACAGGAUUAGAAACCCGAGUAGUCC
RNAcentral lists this ribosomal RNA (450 nucleotides) under uncultured bacterium. RNAcentral describes it as "partial 16S ribosomal RNA". It matches the Rfam family "Bacterial small subunit ribosomal RNA", at positions 354 to 796 of the family's 1533-position model. The record is from RNAcentral.